Bos grunniens (domestic yak) is the source of this 2110-nucleotide long non-coding RNA. The record is from Ensembl. NCBI's taxonomy places the organism in Eukaryota, Metazoa, Chordata, Mammalia, Artiodactyla, Bovidae.
ACCUCAGAGCCACUAGGAAACAAGUGGUAUUUUAUUCCUUUUUGUCCUUGUUGAGAGGAGAGAUCACGACACAGAGAAUGGCAGUCCUGGUCACAGCGGCACGGCUGGUCAGUUUCCACGAGAACACGAGGGGCGGGAGGGGCGGGCUCUGACUUUCCACUCUCUUCACCACCUGGGACCUCCUGCUGCUCCCCCUGCAGCAGGGCUGCCUGGAGCCCUGCCUGCUCCCUAACCUGGGGCCAGGCUAGCAGAGGGGGCGGGGGCUGGCGCUGCUGCCUGGCCAGCAGGGCGCAGACAGCCAAGCAGAGGACCCCUGCUCUUUCUCCAUGCUGCCCCUCCCCAGAGCACGGGCCCCAGCCAAAUGCAUCCACUCAGCCAUGACCUGCCAGAGCCCCAGUUCAGGGAUGAGAGUCUGGGUCCAGGCGAGCUGGCUAUAGAUGGGAAUCUCUGGAGCAGGGAAGGGUGGAGAAGGGCGAAUGGUUCCAGAGCCCGGGGGGUUAUUGCUGAGAAGAUAUGCAAGGGGCACAUUUCCCCGGGGGCAGGGUAAGGCGGGGCAUAUGGGCACCAGGGAAGGGGUUCAGCCACCCGAGGGCAAGGUGGGCUCAUCAGCUCCUUGCUGGAACCUCCCACUGCCAAGAGACCUCAGCACAGAUUUGGUCCAGGGACAAGUAUGGAAGCAAGGUUCUUACAAAAGGAGUGAAAAGCAGCCAUGCACAAGGGUCAUGAAGGUGAUGUAAACCUUCCCAAGCCCCAAGCCAACUGGAGAUUCCCACCAGACCCCCAUAGCCACCCUGAAAUCGAGAGAAGGGACUGGUCUCUCAGAGAAAAAGCAGACUCCCAAGAGUGGGAGGUGAUGGGGCCACAGAGAGAGAGAGGCGCUGCCAGCCACAUGGCUCAGCUCCGGCCCAGGAAGGUGGGUUCGGGUUCACUAAAACACAACAUCAUCCACAAACAAGCAACCACAAAGAUCACAGUCAUCAGACACACACACAGACAUACACAUCACAGGAGGUGGACGAGACCACAGGCUCCAGGUGGGGGAGGCGGGGUUGCAUUAUUAAGUUGAGGACAGGUGUCAAGGGGCUGGGGACACAUAAGCUCUUGGCUUCUCCUGGGGAAAGACCUGUUGCUGAAGUGGCCGGUUUUCUUAAGCAUCAGCAUUUGCAUCUAAAGGUUCAAGCAGCUGCCUUCAGGUUCUGGAGGUGGAAGCAGAAGAGAAUUCAAAUUAAAACAAACCCCUGGCUUCCUUUCAAACCUCUCCAUCCACGCGUCUCCCAGCCAUUCCUUAGGGCAGCCCCUCUGCCCAUGGGAACCCCUAAGAUGAGACCCACUCCAAGUGCCUUGUUUUCAGUACACCAGAGGAUGAGUCUGAGAACCAGGACCAGGAGAUGAAGGUGGAGGAGGGCAUGGAGCUCAGGGUGGGGGCUCUCUCAGGGAAUGGAAGCUGGCAGAUGAAGACAUGGAAAGGAUUGUUAAACCUGGGUUUCUUUCUCAGGACACUCUCAAGAAUUGCUCACAGUCCUGAGACUCAGGAGAACACGGUUUCAAGGAAGUUCUAGUUUAAAAAAAGACAAUUGUUGGCUCAAGGCUCCUCCCUGGCGCCUCCCCACACAGCUCCCCAGAUUCGGAACCACGAGCUGCUGUGACGUGGACAAAUCACUGAGCCACAGCUAGGACACCUGCCACCUGGAUUGGAUCUAUAGCCACGUCAAGCUGAGGCAUCCCUGACCUCCCCAGGGCCCAGCUAGAAGAUGGAGGUAAUGAGCCCCACUCUGCCCACCCACGGGGCUGUCAUGAGAACAGAAAGCACUUAGGAGUGAAUUCAAGUGCUCCACAGGUACCCCGUGUUAUUACCAUCACGGUAAGAGCUGGUGUACCGGCAUUCUACAUCCAGAAAUUUCUUUCAACUCACAAUUUAGGAUAAAGUAUAUCCCUUAUCUGGGGCUUCCCUGCUGGCUCUGUGGUAAACAACCUUCCUGUUAAUGAGGAGACGCGGUUCAAUCCCAGGGUUGGGACAAUCUCCUGAAGAAGGAAAUGGCAACCCGCCUCCAGUAUUCUUGCCUGGGAAUACCGAAAGAAUUCUAGUAUCCCAUGGAUAAGAACCUCCAUG